UUUCGCAAUGCCCGAAAGGGUGACGAAGCGACGCCGCGUGUGGGAAGAAGGCCUUCGGGUUGUAAACCACUGUCGGGAGUUAAGAAAUGCAAGGGUGUUAAUAGCGCCCUUGCUUGACUAAGGCUCCGGAGGAAGCCACGGCUGACUCUGUGCCAGCAGCCGCGGUAAUAUAGAGGCGGCAAGCGUUGUUCGGAAUUAUUGGGCGUAAAGAGCACGUAGGCGGCCUUGUAAGUCAGUUGUGAAAGCCUUCUGCUCAACGGAAGAACAGCAUCUGAUACUGCAAGGCUAGAGUGCGGAAGGGGAGAGUGGAACUUCUGGUGGAGCGGUGAAAUGCGUAGAUAUCAGAAGGAACACCGGCGGCGAAGGCGACUCUCUGGUCCGUAACUGACGCUGAGUGUGCGAAAGCUAGGGGAGCAAACGGGAUUAGAUACCCCGGUAGUCCUAGCCGUAAACGAUGGGCACUAAGUAGAGGGGUUUUA
Molecule: ribosomal RNA, 479 nt
Filed under: uncultured bacterium
Lineage: Bacteria
Description: bacterial SSU rRNA
Rfam family: Bacterial small subunit ribosomal RNA
Source: RNAcentral